GUAGGGGGCAAACGUUUGCUCGGAAUUACUGGGCGUAAAGGGUGUGUAGGUGGCUGAGCAAGUCUUAGAUGAAAUCCCGAGGCCUACCCUCGGAGCUGUCUUCGAUACUGCUCAGCUUGAGGAUGGUUGAGGAGAACGGAAUUCCCGGUGGAGCGGUGAAAUGCGUAGAUAUCGGGAGGAACACCAGAGGCGAAGGCGGUUCUCUGGGCCAUUCCUGACACUGAGACACGAAAGCUAGGGGAGCAAACGGGGGAUUAGAUACCCCGGUAGUCCUAGCCGUAAACGAUGGGCACUAGAUGUUUCCCGCUUUAUGUGGGAGUGUCGUAGCUAACGCAUUAAGUGCCCCGCCUGGGGGAGUACGGUCGCAAGGCUG
Molecule: ribosomal RNA, 373 nt
Filed under: uncultured organism
Description: partial 16S ribosomal RNA
Rfam family: Bacterial small subunit ribosomal RNA
Source: RNAcentral